Molecule: ribosomal RNA, 1198 nt
Filed under: Halomonas sp. VS05_19
Lineage: Bacteria; Pseudomonadati; Pseudomonadota; Gammaproteobacteria; Oceanospirillales; Halomonadaceae
Description: bacterial SSU rRNA
Rfam family: Bacterial small subunit ribosomal RNA
Source: RNAcentral
AAACCCAGGCUAAUACCGCAUACGUCCUACGGGAGAAAGGGGGCUUCGGCUCCCGCUAUCGGAUGAGCCUAUGUCGGAUUAGCUAGUUGGUGAGGUAACGGCUCACCAAGGCCACGAUCCGUAGCUGGUCUGAGAGGAUGAUCAGCCACAUCGGGACUGAGACACGGCCCGAACUCCUACGGGAGGCAGCAGUGGGGAAUAUUGGACAAUGGGGGGAACCCUGAUCCAGCCAUGCCGCGUGUGUGAAGAAGGCCCUCGGGUUGUAAAGCACUUUCAGCGAGGAAGAACGCCUAGCGGUUAAUACCCGCUAGGAAAGACAUCACUCGCAGAAGAAGCACCGGCUAACUCCGUGCCAGCAGCCGCGGUAAUACGGAGGGUGCAAGCGUUAAUCGGAAUUACUGGGCGUAAAGCGCGCGUAGGUGGCUUGAUAAGCCGGUUGUGAAAGCCCCGGGCUCAACCUGGGAACGGCAUCCGGAACUGUCAAGCUAGAGUGCAGGAGAGGAAGGUAGAAUUCCCGGUGUAGCGGUGAAAUGCGUAGAGAUCGGGAGGAAUACCAGUGGCGAAGGCGGCCUUCUGGACUGACACUGACACUGAGGUGCGAAAGCGUGGGUAGCAAACAGGAUUAGAUACCCUGGUAGUCCACGCCGUAAACGAUGUCGACCAGCCGUUGGGUGCCUAGCGCACUUUGUGGCGAAGUUAACGCGAUAAGUCGACCGCCUGGGGAGUACGGCCGCAAGGUUAAAACUCAAAUGAAUUGACGGGGGCCCGCACAAGCGGUGGAGCAUGUGGUUUAAUUCGAUGCAACGCGAAGAACCUUACCUACUCUUGACAUCCUGCGAAUUNGGUAGAGAUACCUUAGUGCCUUCGGGAACGCAGAGACAGGUGCUGCAUGGCUGUCGUCAGCUCGUGUUGUGAAAUGUUGGGUUAAGUCCCGUAACGAGCGCAACCCUUGUCCUUAUUUGCCAGCGCGUAAUGGCGGGAACUCUAAGGAGACUGCCGGUGACAAACCGGAGGAAGGUGGGGACGACGUCAAGUCAUCAUGGCCCUUACGAGUAGGGCUACACACGUGCUACAAUGGUCGGUACAAAGGGUUGCCAACUCGCGAGAGUGAGCCAAUCCCGAAAAGCCGAUCUCAGUCCGGAUCGGAGUCUGCAACUCGACUCCGUGAAGUCGGAAUCGCUAGUAAUCGUAGAUCAGA